This 108-nucleotide ribosomal RNA is filed under the name Galerina marginata. Its description in RNAcentral is "partial 5.8S ribosomal RNA". The stretch from base 1 to 92 matches the Rfam family "5.8S ribosomal RNA", at positions 63 to 154 of the family's 154-position model. From Rfam's summary of the family: 5.8S ribosomal RNA (5.8S rRNA) is a component of the large subunit of the eukaryotic ribosome. It is transcribed by RNA polymerase I as part of the 45S precursor that also contains 18S and 28S rRNA. The record is from RNAcentral. Lineage: Eukaryota; Fungi; Basidiomycota; Agaricomycetes; Agaricales; Galerinaceae.
UAAUGUGAAUNGCAGAAUUCCGUGAAUCAUCGAAUCUUNGAACGCACCUUGCGCUCCUUGGUAUUCCGAGGAGCAUGCCUGUUUGAGUGUCAUUAAAUUCUCAACCUU